Long non-coding RNA from Mus musculus (house mouse), 2522 nucleotides. RefSeq annotates it as predicted gene, 53318. The transcript has 4 exons. The record is from RefSeq and is a predicted model, not a curated record. Lineage: Eukaryota; Metazoa; Chordata; Mammalia; Rodentia; Muridae.
CUGCCCAGGGAUGGUACUGCUUACGUAAGCAUAGCACCUCCCAAUGGAAGAGCUGGCGAGAAGCUUCUGGCUGAGUUCUAGCUUGAUUGUUUAUAUCUCACAACAAAGUGUGUAGUGUCUUCCAUACCAAGGUCUUAUCAGCUACUUCUGGCAGACAUCUACAAGGAAUGGCAGAAUCCUACAUUUUUGUGGGGAGCAUUGCUGUUGGAGCUUUCCUGACCAACAACUAAUAAGGAGGUAUCAUUGAAAGACUUAUUAUUGAUUCAACUGGCUUGAUUUCUAUGAAUCUGUUGAAGUUGUAUGUGGCCUCUUGUUUAAUUAUGCUCUUCUCUCUGGUGGCACGGUCCACUGCCCCACAUUCUCCUGUCUGUGACUGGAUUGAGAUGUAGAACUUUCAGCUCUCCCAGUUCCAAGUCUGCCUAGAUGCUGCCAUGGGGAUCCUGUCAUGAUGAUAAUGGACUGAACCUAUGAACCUGUGACUUUGACAAGAGCGGAUUCUGUUGAAUGAAGGGAUGGGCAAUGUCAUGAAAGAAAUUGAGAAGACGAUGAUAUGUAGAAACAGAAGUCUUAACUUUCAAGAUAUUUAACAUAUUUGGAAGAAGGGAAAUUUAAUGUUGCAACUACUUCCUGACACUGUCUUGUGCUAGGAAAAUUUCCAGCUAUGGACAGUUCUCAUGACAACUCUCAAGGAAAUGUAUUCACAAUUUUCUUUUGGAUUCUGAGAUUGUUCCCUCUAUCUGACCUUUUAACUCUUGCAGUCAUUAUAAAAUUAACAUAUCCUAAAUGAUCCUCUUGGCUUCCCAACCAUCUCUUUCCAUUUUCCAUCCGUGAGUACAUGCUGAGCAUAGUCUUUUUUGUCAUUUGUUGUAGGAGGCUAGUGGUCAUCUUCACAUCCUCUUCCCUAUUUGGCCUGUUGGAUCUAUCAAGAAGUCAUCGCCAUUUCUUCAUUUAAGAGAGACUCUAACUCUGUCUUUCUUUAUCUUCAGCAUCCUACUCUUAACUACCCUACACCAAAGGGGCCUGUGCUGCUCCGCCAUCUCACCUGUCAUGGUUAAGCUCCUUCUAGCUUUACCUCGAAGCAACUAUCCUUCAGUGCAUGCUUCCCCCUUUGGAAUUCGAGUUCCACAAGGGCAGGAAUUCUGUUUUAAUUGCUAUCCUGUCUCCUCCAUUGGUUAACAUGAUCAACAUAGUAUCAAGCAUGUAGUAAGUGCUCAACAACUGUUUUGAUAGCUGAAGAAAAGACUGACAAAUAAAUAAUUUCUACGUGGAAGGUAAGAAUAGAAGUUAAGCAAAUAUUUGCAGUCGGCUGUGGGAGAAACACCCAUCAAAUGACUACAUGCCGCGCCUAACUUUUGCAGCAAUAAACUCAUGAUCAACACGGUCAGUCUUCCAAAGUCCUGGAGGCAACACAUCUGGGCCUUGGCUCCCUGCCAGGAAUGUCUUCCUUCCUCCUCGCUACUCAGGCUGCACAUUAGUCUUCUAUGCUUUCACAAUAAUACAAAUGACAACCUUUGGUAGAUUACACAAUACAUACAGUUAUCUUCCUUUGACCACCUGAGAGAAUGGGGUUUGAGUUUUGCUGAUGGCAAGUUCAAAGCAGAAGUGGUUGAAUCCCGUGCUGGAGGCUCAUCCCUGUUUCUAGACCCUCCUUUCCCACCAUACUUAUGAUUUGUAUAAGAAUAUAGUAUAGUAAUGCUGUAACAUCUAACACUUCAAUUAUCACUCAAAAUAGGGAAAUGGAUGGCAUAUGUUUCAUUUUUGGGACACGUUUCUUAAUAAAGAAGGAAAGGGUUCAGUGUUUCCUACUUGUACAUUGAUUGAAAGCCUGGGUUCUUGGUGAAGUACUUCUGUUUGAGUCCUAGUUCAUGUCUAUACUAGAGAACACAAUCUUGGGUGAGUUCCUUAGUUCUCUGGUCCCCAGUUACCUCAUCUGUAAAUUGGAGGUAAUAUUAGCAGUACAUACUACAGAUCAUUGUCUAGUUUCUCACUAUUGAGCUAUACAAGGCAUAGGCAUCCAUUUAUAACGUUAGAUACAUGGAAGAGCUCAAGACUACUAAAACAUGGCUGAGCUAGGUCUCGGACCUCCUUGUUGGGUCCAACUACAGAGGCUAUUUUAUCAUUAAAAUUUGUUGUACACUUAGGAAAGAAAGUUAGAAUGAUUUGUGUGUGUGUGUAAAAUACUUUUUUUUAAAAGGAGUGCCUGAGGCUAAGAGUGUCUUACAUUUUCCAAAUUUCAGAGUGAAGAUAAGAAUUUGUUGUUGUUGUCUUCACAUCUGAAAUCCAAGGUCGUUUUGGGAGCAUGCAAUGAAGACUAUAGCAUCAGCAUGUAGAGUUGGGCAUCUCAGAUUGUGUUUAUGUUGCGAUUUUCUCUCUAGAGUCUCAGACCUGAGCACAUGUGUGCUUUUCAUUGUGACCCAUGCUCAGACUUACUGUUUGUCAAAGGAGGUGUUUUCCUUCUGACUUUGUUGUUGUUGUUGUUUUGUUGUUUUUUGUUUUUCGAGACAGGGUUUCUCUGUAUAGCC